Unclassified non-coding RNA from Pongo abelii (Sumatran orangutan), 148 nucleotides. It matches the Rfam family "Metazoan signal recognition particle RNA". Rfam says of the family: The signal recognition particle (SRP) is a universally conserved ribonucleoprotein. It is involved in the co-translational targeting of proteins to membranes. The eukaryotic SRP consists of a 300-nucleotide 7S RNA and six proteins: SRPs 72, 68, 54, 19, 14, and 9. Lineage: Eukaryota; Metazoa; Chordata; Mammalia; Primates; Hominidae. The record is from Ensembl.
GCCGGGCAUAAUGGCAUUUGCCUGUAAUCCCAGCUACUCGGGAGGCUGAGGCAGGAGAAUCACUUGAACCCAGGAGGCGGAGGUUGCAGUGAGCCAAGAUAGCACCACUGCACUCCAGCCUGGGUGACAGAGUGAGACUCUGUCUCAA